Non-coding RNA from Equus caballus (horse), 4258 nucleotides. The record is from RefSeq and is a predicted model, not a curated record. NCBI's taxonomy places the organism in Eukaryota, Metazoa, Chordata, Mammalia, Perissodactyla, Equidae.
CCAGUGGGAAGAACAAUUAUAGCAAAGGAAUAUUUUGCAAGUAAUCAAAAUGCAGUUACUUAUUUAAAAAAAAAUAAAAGAUGUGACGUAAACAAACUUCACUUUAAAUAGCCUCUCCUCCUUCCCUACCCCGUGUCAAAAACCUCUUCUGGUGAGAGCAAGGCUGCUGGACGGGAAGCGAGCUCCUCUGCCCACUUCCUACCAUCUACCUUCCUGUCCCUUCUCCUGCCUCUUUGCCCCCUCCCUCUCCCCCUCCAUCAUGCCCUGUUCUCUCCCUCCUCCUCUCUCCGCUCCUAACCUCUCAAACUCUUUUCUCUCAAAUGAUUAAGAUUCGCUCUCACCAAGUGCACCGGAUGUUAAGCAAACUCACUGAGGACAGACAGCACCUGCUCUGUCAUAAAGACGGGGUGACCAUGGAUUCCAACCAUCCUGCUGGAGCCCAGGCCUCAAGAAACCCCAGACGUCAUUGCUGGUCUCUGUCCACCUGCCGGCUCCAGACUCCUCCGAGAGCACCGGACGAGCAAGACUGACGCCACUUUCAUCUCAGGAUGUUCUUGUGUCUGAGGAUCAGUUGCUCACUCCAGACUCUUUUGAGCCUUGACCGGAAGAUGGGGACCCGCACAGCAACUGCCCAGCCUAGAACCACAGGACCGAGCAAAGAUGCCACGAGGGACUCCUUGUUGGAGAAGUCCCAGAAAGUCACUGCCCCAAACCAGCCCCCUGCGUCAUCAAACACGGAGAAGAGGAAUCAUUCCGCCUUCUGGGGACCAGAGAGUCCGACAGACCCUGGGAUGCCAGGCAGUGAGACCGCGCCCCUGGCUUUGAAGCCCAGCCCUAUGACCCACUCACUACUUGAUGACCCUGGGCGAGCACGGAGCCUCCCUGAGCCUAGCCAGAAAAGUGGAGCUACUGGGACCUGCCAGCACGACACUUGUUCCUCAGGGAAGAAUAGAAAAGGGGAGAAUUAUGUUUUUGAGUCAAAGAGUGAUCGAGGAGGAGGGGAACACCCAGCCCCAGAAGCAGGUAAAUGUGUGCCUUGGAGACUCAUUGCAGAGGACCAAAUAAACCCUCACGGGACCACAGAGCCUCUAGUUGAGGGUAGUAGAUGAAGCUGCAGGAGCUCAUGACAAGAGCAGUGACCUGUGGAGCAGAAGCACCACUGUGCUCUCAUCUCCUAGUCAUGUGUCAUCUUUGGGCUCUUGAACUGGUAACCCCCGUCUGUGGACCUCAGCUUCUUCCUUUGUAAGUGGAUUGACUAGAUAAUCCCUCUAGUCCCUUCCAGGUGUAACGUUCUAAGGAAAGAGUAAUUCUUCUGGCCUAGUGGUUAGGAACACGGGCUCCAGAAUCGGACGCCGAGAUUCAAGUCCUUGCUCCACCACUGACCUCUGUGCCCUCGGGCAUUAUCUUCUCCCCGUGGAUCUCAGUUUCAUCUUUAGGAAGCUGGAGAUAACAACCCAUACCUGCGUCACAGAGUUGUCAGGGAGAAUAAACGGGACCAUUAAUACGAAGCAUUUAGCACACUGCUUGGCUCAUACAAUGAGCCAAAUAAAUGAUGGCUAUUAUGAUCGACUGAGUCAUGAUACCACAGGAGUAAAGGUCUUGGACCACCCAGUUCUCUUCCCAAGUGCUCUAGUGACAGAGAUGGAAGACAGCGGGAAUGGGGAAGAGUGUGGGAAGUUAAGGGAUAUUUAGAAGAAGAAUACCAUAAUUCCAUAACUGUGGUUGUUUUUAACUAGAGAGAAAACACUUUUGACACAGUCCUGUAGAAAGGCAGGUUUUAGUUCUAAAUCCCACAAACUAAUUAAUAAACAAAGAUUUACAAGUACAAAAUAUGAUUCUUAAGUUACAGAUAUAAACGUUCAGAAAACUUUUUUUUUUUAACCUGAAAGUAGUCUUUGUAGUGUCUGGACAGUAUUGAAGUAUAACUUUUCCACAAUAGAGUGCUAAAAUAAUCCAGAUAUCAAGAACCUAGAUGCUCCCAGUCUGCUGGCCUGCUGGACUUACCCUGUCCCAAGAAAUUGGAAUAAAAAUGCCCCAUCCCCCAUGGACAUACAAAGGGAAACCAGACCUGCCCCUUGCCACAUUGGCCAGUGCCCAUUCUGUUACUGAGCAAGAGCUCACCAUCCCAAAGGCAGAGAAGCGAAUAUAGAGACUGUGGCACACCAGUCUUUGAGGGCAGAAGUAGUUUACCAUGCAAUUGAUUGGCAAAGAGACAGAAGGACAGGCUCUCAAUUCUGUCUCCCUAUCCAGGGUAUGGGGUAAGGCUUAACGGAUCGGGAAGGGCAUGCUGGCAGGUAGAAGCACAGGAUGAGUUUCAAUUGGCAGAUCAAAAUUUUCAUCCUGGGCAUGCUCCUGGCUGGCUGGCCACACCUGAUAAACAGCUUUAAUGUCGUGUGGUUGAGAUGAGGUCGGUUUUGGGGGUUACCAGGAAAAGCACAGUAAAAAAGAGUGAAGUUGUUGGGCAGGUUUAAGUCAUAGCCUUCUCUAUUGAUAAGAGUUUCUAGAGAGUUGGAGUCAUCCUCCCCUUCCUGGCACAGAGAGGGAGGCACCCUUACACAUGGAGAUUUCCCUUACAAACGGGUAACUUCUACGAGGUUUUCAGAGCUUUUCCUGUGUCUGCUUUUGUUCAAAAAUAAUCACCAGCUCAAAGUAGCCCUUAUGCCAGAGAGGCAUAUUUUGGGGUGGCAAAUUCCAUUCCUGGUCCUGUGGUUAGAGUUCUAGUUGUUACGGUUUUUAAUGUCACUCCUAGUCACAUGAACAGAAUACCCAAUUCAUCCCCUUGGCUUAUUUCUGAGAAAACUAUCAUGACGUGUUUUAGAAGGGGUAGGAAAAUUUAAAAUCUCAAAUUGCCCAAACUAAAAACUUUGAAGAAACUAUGCCAACUAAGUAUUGAAAAGUCUAGAAUAAUUUUCAGUAUUGUAGCAGGUCCUUUACAGGAGAUUCCAUCUUCCUUGUCAUCAAAGCAUUAAAGAAGAAUCAGAUUUGACAGUUCAGCAACUUCAUAUUGAUACCAGCUCAACACAAGGUUGACAUAAGGGAAGCCAUAUUGUAGAAAAGAAGCCAUGCUGCAACUUUGAAUGACCUGAUUAACCAGCCAGCUGCAUAUGCAACCUCCCAGAGAGAUAAAUGCUCUGUAGAUGUUAAGGCCCCUCUCAGCUGCUAUAAGUUGACAACUUUGUUCUUUUGAGUUACUCAGGACUGUGAUGACCUCUGGGUAGAGAGUCUAUGUUGAUAGCCAUCAUCAUGACAAUGGAAAGAUCUGGGUAUAGGGCAUUGCUCUGGUCUCUGAUCCAUAUCCAGUAAAACAAAGAUUAUCAGACCAGACGUCUGCCCCCACCCAGAGAUCAGGCAGGUGCCCCUGCCCAGAGACCAGCUGCCUCUCCAACCCAAAGACCAGCCCCCUAUAUAACUGGCCUGUAGUCUUUGUUCUGCAAGAUGGUUCCUUUGGACAUUAGUCAGGCAUCUUCUCCCUUGCUAGCAAGCUGUAAUAACACUCUUUUUCUCCUACCACCUUGCCUGUUGAAUAUUGGCAUGUCUCGUGGUGGGCAGAUGACAUCCCUUGGGUGGUAACAAAUUUGGCGAACAUGAAGGGACAUUAAGUCCUACUCAUGGCCAGUCAACCUUGAUGGGCAACCUGUCGGCUAAGUUCUAGCAGCUGCCGUGGCUCUCUUGGUCUCGGGGAUCUGCCCUUCCUGCUUUCCUGUACUGAUGCUGGCUGCCUCCUAACACUGACUGUGGUAGAAAGAGAAACAGCUACAUCUGGCCAGUCCACAGGCUCAAUCUGGAAUAGGGUAAGUCACCUUGGGGAUGCCUGUGAACUGCCUUCCCCUGGGGUCCUUCUGUUUACAGCAGGGCCGUCUGGGGCCCUUCCAUUUAUGGCAGGGCCAUCUGGGAUCCAAUAGGACCAUCUGGGUGCAUGUUCAGAGUGGGAAGAGUUGUAGGACUUUUUACCCUAAAUCUGUGAACUAGUUUCAUUGGUGUCUGGUUUUUCUGUGUCAGUAAACUGCUUAAAAUUGGCUGUUUGGGGACUGAGUUACUGGGUGAUUAUAACUCACUUUAGAAAUUACCAUGUUUGUUGCAGCCACCUUGGGUCAAGCCCCCUAAAAUGGGGAUAACUAUAAAAAUAUGGCAAGAUAACAUGGGAUAAUUUAAAAUUAAGUGGCCACUUUGGGCUCCAUUUUAGCUUUGGAACCAAGAAACAAAGAAAUCUUUAAACAGUCAAGGGCCCCACCUUUUGACCUAAAGCUUCCAGAAGCUG